GUUUUGCAUGAGGCUUAAUUGUUUUCAAACUUGGUCGAGUAUUGGGAUUGCUAUAAUAUUGCUUUUAAAAUUAAACACAAUAUAAAGACCCAAUCACAUUAUAAGUUGUUAAACUUAGUAGUUCAAACUUGCGAUUUUAUUAUUUAUGGAGUUUUUGUCCACGAGCAAGGUACACAGUAUCACUAACACCUGGAAGCACUCCGGAUUAAACAUUUUACUCGGAAUUAACAACGUCAAAAACAAAACAACUAUAAUAUAUUUAAAAAUAUUGCACGUGGGCGCGUAUACAACACAAUUUCAAAAACAUUGUAAGUC
Molecule: RNA transcript, 315 nt
Organism: Diuraphis noxia (Russian wheat aphid)
Lineage: Eukaryota; Metazoa; Arthropoda; Insecta; Hemiptera; Aphididae
Source: RefSeq, a predicted model, not a curated record